UAUCAUUAGCGAAAAGCAUACACCAAGGGACCUCAUCUUGGAUGUGUCUGGUUAAAUCAUCCAUGAUGAGUGCAAACAAAUAAGGGCUUAGAGCUGAUCCUUGGUGUAACCUAAUUGUAAUAGGGAAUUCGCUACUUUGGCCCUCUGUAGUUUUGACACUAGUCACCAUGCCCUCAUACAUGUCCUUAAUUAUAUCCACAUAAUUUAAAGAACCUUUUAC
This is a long non-coding RNA of Telopea speciosissima, 220 nucleotides long. RefSeq lists it as uncharacterized. The transcript is spliced from 3 exons. NCBI's taxonomy places the organism in Eukaryota, Viridiplantae, Streptophyta, Magnoliopsida, Proteales, Proteaceae. The record is from RefSeq and is a predicted model, not a curated record.